UUAUUCAGCAUUCUCACUAGUAACAUACGACCCUUUCGCCUUUUACUAAAGAGUCAUGUGUUGAGAAUGUAUUUUGAAAUAAAUCAAUUUUUGAGGGAGAUUCGUCGCCCA
This is a small nuclear RNA of Condylostylus longicornis, 111 nucleotides long. RefSeq annotates it as U5 spliceosomal RNA. NCBI's taxonomy places the organism in Eukaryota, Metazoa, Arthropoda, Insecta, Diptera, Dolichopodidae. The record is from RefSeq and is a predicted model, not a curated record. The transcript has a single exon.